RNAcentral lists this ribosomal RNA (890 nucleotides) under uncultured bacterium. Its description in RNAcentral is "bacterial SSU rRNA". It matches the Rfam family "Bacterial small subunit ribosomal RNA", at positions 505 to 1395 of the family's 1533-position model. The record is from RNAcentral.
GUGCCAGCAGCCGCGGUAAUACGUAGGUGGCAAGCGUUGUCCGGAUUUAUUGGGCGUAAAGCGAGCGCAGGCGGUUUCUUAAGUCUGAUGUGAAAGCCUUCGGCUCAACCGAAGAAGUGCAUCGGAAACUGGGAAACUUGAGUGCAGAAGAGGACAGUGGAACUCCAUGUGUAGCGGUGAAAUGCGUAGAUAUAUGGAAGAACACCAGUGGCGAAGGCGGCUGUCUGGUCUGUAACUGACGCUGAGGCUCGAAAGCAUGGGUAGCAAACAGGAUUAGAUACCCUGGUAGUCCAUGCCGUAAACGAUGAGUGCUAGGUGUUGGAGGGUUUCCGCCCUUCAGUGCCGCAGCUAACGCAUUAAGCACUCCGCCUGGGGAGUACGACCGCAAGGUUGAAACUCAAAGGAAUUGACGGGGGCCCGCACAAGCGGUGGAGCAUGUGGUUUAAUUCGAAGCAACGCGAAGAACCUUACCAGGUCUUGACAUCCUUUGACCACUCUAGAGAUAGAGCUUUCCCUUCGGGGACAAAGUGACAGGUGGUGCAUGGUUGUCGUCAGCUCGUGUCGUGAGAUGUUGGGUUAAGUCCCGCAACGAGCGCAACCCUUAUUACUAGUUGCCAGCAUUAGGUUGGGCACUCUAGUGAGACUGCCGGUGACAAACCGGAGGAAGGUGGGGACGACGUCAAAUCAUCAUGCCCCUUAUGACCUGGGCUACACACGUGCUACAAUGGAUGGUACAACGAGUUGCGAGACCGCGAGGUUUAGCUAAUCUCUUAAAACCAUUCUCAGUUCGGAUUGUAGGCUGCAACUCGCCUACAUGAAGCCGGAAUCGCUAGUAAUCGCGGAUCAGCAUGCCGCGGUGAAUACGUUCCCGGGCCUUGUACACACCGCCC